Molecule: unclassified non-coding RNA, 387 nt
Filed under: uncultured bacterium
Lineage: Bacteria
Description: contains 16S-23S intergenic spacer region
Source: RNAcentral
UCCCCGUUGUCCGAGGCAGUUCCCUAAGAGUGCUGUCCAUUACAGACGUAGCAACAUAGGGUAAGGGUUGCGCUCGUUGCGGGACUUAACCCAACAUCUCACGACACGAGCUGACGACAGCCAUGCAGCACCUCUAUAGGCAACCGACUUUACGGUUCGUCGCUACUUUCAUAGCUUCUACUACCUACAGUUCAAGCCUAGGUAAGGUUCUUCGCGUUGCGUCGAAUUAAACCACAUCAUCCACCGCUUGUGCGGGUCCCCGUCAAUUCCUUUGAGUUUUAAUCUUGCGACCGUACUCCCCAGGCGGGGCACUUAAUGCGUUAGCUGCGGCACCCAGGGGGUCAAUACCCCGGACACCUAGUGCCCAUCGUUUACAGCGUGGACUAC